This 857-nucleotide ribosomal RNA is filed under the name bacterium 22F07-Zb1-8. RNAcentral's name for it is "partial 16S ribosomal RNA". It matches the Rfam family "Bacterial small subunit ribosomal RNA", at positions 620 to 1533 of the family's 1533-position model. The record is from RNAcentral.
AAGUCACUGAAAAUGGGGGGACGUUAGUACAGAAGGAGAGGAGACGGAAUUUCAAGUGUAGUCGGUGAAAAAUGUAGAGAUAUGUGGGAGACAAUCAGUGAUGGAGGGGGGCUCUUUGGUCUGUAAAUGAGGCAGAGGAGGUGAAAGAGUGGGGGAGCAAACAGGAUUAGAUACCCUGGUAGUAGCACCCCGUAAUAAGAUGAGGUCUAAGUGUUAGGGGGUUUCCGCCCCUUAGUGGUGCAGCUAUACGCAUUAAACAUUCCGCCGGGGAGUGCGGUCGCACAAGGGUAAAUCAAAAAAAUUUACGGGGGGCCGCACACAAGGUGGAGCAUGUGGUUUAAUUUGAAACAACACGAAAAGCCCUUCCAGGUCUUGACAUACCGCUGAAAUCCCUAAGAAUAGGCUUUUCCCUUUGGGGAAAGCGAAGACAGGUGGUGCAUGGUUGUCGUCAGCUCGUGUCGUGAGAUGUUGGGUUAAGUCCCGCAACGAGCGCAACCCUUGAUCUUAGUUGCCAGCAGUUAGUUGGGCAAUUUAAAGUAUCUUCCCAGGAUAAACCGGAAGAAAGGGGGGGUGGAGUCAAAUUAUUCUUCCCCCUUUGGCCCAGGGUACCCCCCGUGUUCAAUGGACGGUACAAAGGGUCGCAACCCCAGGAGGGUGAGCAAAUUCUAUAAAACCGUUCUCUAUUCCGAAUUGGAGUUGCAAAUUGCAUUCCGGAAGUAGAAAUAGAUAGUAAUCAGAUCAGCAAACACUAACAAGGGUACCACUAGAGUUUGAUCAUGGCUCAGUAAGUCGUAACAAGGUAACCCCUAGAGUUUGAUCAUGGCUCAGUAAGUCGUAACAAGGUAACCACUAGAGUG